RNAcentral lists this ribosomal RNA (253 nucleotides) under uncultured bacterium. RNAcentral describes it as "partial 16S ribosomal RNA". It matches the Rfam family "Bacterial small subunit ribosomal RNA", at positions 524 to 776 of the family's 1533-position model. The record is from RNAcentral.
UACGAAGGUCCCAAGCGUUAUCCGGAUUUAUUGGGUUUAAAGGGUGCGUAGGCGGGUUGUUAAGUCAGGGGUGAAAGCUCCAUGCCUAACAUGGAAAUUGCCAUUGAUACUGAUGAUCUUGAGUACAUUUGAAGUGGGCGGAAUGUGUCAUGUAGUGGUGAAAUACUUAGAUAUGACACAGAACACCGAUUGCGUAGGCAGCUCACUAAACUGUAACUGACGCUGAGGCACGAAAGCGUGGGGAUCAAACAGG